Molecule: ribosomal RNA, 369 nt
Filed under: uncultured bacterium
Lineage: Bacteria
Description: partial 16S ribosomal RNA
Rfam family: Bacterial small subunit ribosomal RNA
Source: RNAcentral
GAAUUCACUAGUGAUUAGAGUUUGAUCCUGGCUCAGAUUGAACGCUGGCGGCAUGCCUUACACAUGCAAGUCGAACGGUAACAGGUCUUCGGAUGCUGACGAGUGGCGAACGGGUGAGUAAUACAUCGGAACGUGCCCGAUAGUGGGGGAUAACGAAGCGAAAGCUUUGCUAAUACCGCAUACGAUCUCAGGAUGAAAGCAGGGGACCGCAAGGCCUUGCGCUCACGGAGCGGCCGAUGGCAGAUUAGGUAGUUGGUGGGAUAAAAGCUUACCAAGCCGACGAUCUGUAGCUGGUCUGAGAGGACGACCAGCCACACUGGGACUGAGACACGGCCCAGACUCCUACGGGAGGCAGCAGUGGGGAAUUUU